UCGGGAUCAAGCAGAUAUAUAGAUCAAAACAGACCUUAUUAAUCAAAACCCAAAAACAGCUUCCAAAAUAAAUUUUACAAAAUCAGAAUAAUUUUGACGAGAUAAACGAAACCCGCAACCCAAAAUGGCUUAAUUUACAAGCGUUUUCACGGAUCUUGAGAUCAAAACCACAGAUCGGGAGUUUGUGUAUCCUAAACCUAAAAAUG
This 206-nucleotide unclassified non-coding RNA is filed under the name Hevea brasiliensis (rubber tree). The record is from RNAcentral. Lineage: Eukaryota; Viridiplantae; Streptophyta; Magnoliopsida; Malpighiales; Euphorbiaceae.